Molecule: ribosomal RNA, 476 nt
Filed under: uncultured bacterium
Lineage: Bacteria
Description: partial 16S ribosomal RNA
Rfam family: Bacterial small subunit ribosomal RNA
Source: RNAcentral
GAUGAACGCUAGCGGCAGGCCUAACACAUGCAAGUCGAGGGAGAAGCCUUUCGGGGCAGAAACCGGCGCACGGGUGCGUAACGCGUAUGCAACCUACCUUUCACAGGGGGAUAGCCCGAAGAAAUUUGGAUUAAUACCCCAUAAUAUUGUUGGAUGGCAUCAUCUGAUAAUUAAAACUGCGGUGGUGAAAGAUGGGCAUGCGUCCUAUUAGCUAGUUGGAGUGGUAACGGCACCCCAAGGCUACGAUAGGUAGGGGUCCUGAGAGGGAGAUCCCCCACACUGGUACUGAGACAGGGACCAGACUCCUACGGGAGGCAGCAGUGAGGAAUACUGGUCAAUGGUCGGAAGACUGAACCAGCCAUGCCGCGUGCAGGAAGAAUGCCUUAUGGGUGGUAAACUGCUUUUAUAUGGGAAGAAUAAGGUGUACGUGUACAUUGAUGACGGUACCAUAUGAAUAAGCAUCGGCUAACUCCGUG